CCUACGGGAGGCAGCAGUGGGGGAUAUUGCACAAUGGGGGAAACCCUGAUGCAGCGACGCCGCGUGGGCGAAGAAGUAUUUCGGUAUGUAAAGCCCUAUCAGCAGGGAAGAAGAAAUGACGGUACCUGAGUAAGAAGCACCGGCUAAAUACGUGCCAGCAGCCGCGGUAAUACGUAUGGUGCAAGCGUUAUCCGGAUUUACUGGGUGGAAAGGGAGCGCAGGCGGCGCGUUAAGCCUGGUGUGAAAGCCCGCGGCCCAACCGCGGGACUGCAUUGGGAACUGGCGCGCUGGAGUGCCGGAGGGGUAGGCGGAAUUCCUAGUGUAGCGGUGAAAUGCGUAGAUAUUAGGAGGAACACCAGUGGCGAAGGCGGCCUACUGGACGGUGACUGACGCUGAGGCUCGAAAGCGUGGGGAGCAAACAGGAUUAGAUACCCUAGUAGUC
This 442-nucleotide ribosomal RNA is filed under the name uncultured bacterium. RNAcentral's name for it is "partial 16S ribosomal RNA". It matches the Rfam family "Bacterial small subunit ribosomal RNA", at positions 338 to 795 of the family's 1533-position model. The record is from RNAcentral.